Long non-coding RNA from Chiroxiphia lanceolata (lance-tailed manakin), 333 nucleotides. RefSeq lists it as uncharacterized. The transcript is spliced from 4 exons. Lineage: Eukaryota; Metazoa; Chordata; Aves; Passeriformes; Pipridae. The record is from RefSeq and is a predicted model, not a curated record.
UUGUCACCAACCCCAACAAGGAGGAGAGAGACAAGGCCACAUUUCUUCAGAGCAUCUCCGUGCUGUGCAGAAGCGCCUUGAAGCACGGCCUGACCCAGGGCCUGGAUCUGUUUUGUGACAUGUACGAGCUGGCAGAGAACAUCAAGGCGCUGCUGGAAGAAGAGCCAAGGGACCAGCUGUGCACAGACCUUCGGCAUCUUUCCAUGCUGGCUCUGGAGAAAUUGAGCUUGGUGGACACAGCGCUGGAGGGCAAAGCCAAAAGCCUCCUCCGCACGUGUUUCUCAAGUGUCUUCUGGCUGCCUGCAGAGAAGGAAAUGCCAAAAGGGGACCUUG